This 420-nucleotide ribosomal RNA is filed under the name Balta cf. similis DJGI-2006. RNAcentral describes it as "partial 12S ribosomal RNA". Lineage: Eukaryota; Metazoa; Arthropoda; Insecta; Blattodea; Pseudophyllodromiidae. The record is from RNAcentral.
GGAUUAGAUACCCUAUUAUUUUUUUAUUUAAAUUUAUUUGCUAGGGUAGUAUUAGAUUGGUCUUGAAACUUAUAGAAUUUGGCGGUAUUUUAAUUCUUUUUAGAGGAAUCUGUUUCGUAAUCGAUAGUCCACGUUGAACCUUACUUGUUUUAUGUAGUUUGUAUAUCGCCGUUAUUGAUUAUUUUUUUAGAAUUAAUAAAUUUUCUUGAUUUUUUAUUGGAGUAUAUUUCAGGUCAAGGUGCAGCUUAUAGAUUGAGUGAAAAUGGAUUACAAUUUUAUUUUAAUAUAUGAAUAAUAUUAGUAUAUGUUUUUUGAAGGUGGAUUUAAUAGUAAUUUUAUGUAGAUUAUUAAUAUGAAAAAAGUUCUGAAAUAUGUACAUAUCGCCCGUCGCUCUCGUUAAUAGUUAAGAUGAGAUAAGUC